RNAcentral lists this ribosomal RNA (376 nucleotides) under Escherichia coli. RNAcentral describes it as "bacterial SSU rRNA". It matches the Rfam family "Bacterial small subunit ribosomal RNA", at positions 230 to 598 of the family's 1533-position model. RNAcentral also lists the same sequence under 1 other name. The record is from RNAcentral. Lineage: Bacteria; Pseudomonadati; Pseudomonadota; Gammaproteobacteria; Enterobacterales; Enterobacteriaceae.
CCCAGAUGGGAUUAGCUAGUAGGUGGGGUAAAGGCUCACCUAGGCGACGAUCCCUAGCUGGUCUGAGAGGAUGACCAGCCACACUGGAACUGAGACACGGUCCAGACUCCUACGGGAGGCAGCAGUGGGGAAUAUUGCACAAUGGGCGCAAGCCUGAUGCAGCCAUGCCGCGUGUAUGAAGAAGGCCUUCGGGUUGUAAAGUACUUUCAGCGGGGAGGAAGGGAGUAAAGUUAAUACCUUUGCUCAUUGACGUUACCCGCAGAAGAAGCACCGGCUAACUCCGUGCCAGCAGCCGCGGUAAUACGGAGGGUGCAAGCGUUAAUCGGAAUUACUGGGCGUAAAGCGCACGCAGGCGGUUUGUUAAGUCAGAUGUGAA